GCGCUCCAUUAUCUCUGUGAUUAAUGUUAGACCUGCGGUGAGAGGUUUAUUGAAAGAGAAACCCCAACUGGAAGCAAACCAUGGCUAAAGAUGUGGGAAUAGCAACAAGUGAACUGGCCCGAGGACUGAGAGCAUCAACUGGAGAGAACAACACUGAAUCAGCUGACUUGGAGUUCCCAGUGAGUCAGUGAGGAGGAAGUUUGUUAGACCUGCAGUGAGAGGUUUAUUGGAAGAAAAACCCCAAAUGGAAGCAAACCACGACUGAAGACGGGAACAGCAAUAAGUGAACCAGCCUGAGGACUGAGAACAUAAACUGGAGAGAACAACUGCCUCAGGAGAAUCGGAGAUUCCAUUGAUUCAGUCAGGAGAAAGUUUGAGAGCUGGCAUCAAACUGACGGGCCGAGCGGUCUCCACCUCUCGGCGACACAUCACACUCUGGCCGCUUGAGACGCUUCACAAACGUCCCAACUUCCCUUGGAGGGAAAUGGAAAUAAAUCAAAAAAUGGACAUUUACUCCGCUGUGAUGUGGCCGGAGCGGGAGGCGAACAGAGCGGGGGAAAGGCCCCAUCGACUUGUCCACCUCUGCGACUGGUGGUAACAAGUGAUUGACAUCGCUUUGCACCAAUGGGAAUAGCGCAGCCCCGAAUCCUCUGUUGACAGCGGUGGGGGAGGGCUGGUCACGUGAUUAUUAGCCAAGCUAUUAAACUGAUAAAGCCCGAGCUCACCAGCGCAUGGAUGACGUAAGACGCUGUGCACGUAAGGGCAGAACCCGGUCUGGGAAGCCCAUGCGUGACGUCAGGCGCGAGGGGGGUCUGUGCGACAUCACCUGUGGGGAUGCGGUCUCAUUUAAAUGCACCUUAGUGCGUUUCUUAUGAUUUCAGAGGGACAACAACAUUAAUCACGGGUUUCAUUACUGAAUCCACUGUUGUGAGAUGUAAAGUCACCUGUUAUGUGUCUGGCUGGCACGUGUUGUUUUGGGGGCUAUUGAUUGAUUAAUUAUCUAUUUGAUUGGGCAUAUCCCUUUUGAUUUAUUUGUGUGUAGAAAUCAGCAGCAGUGGAUAUUGAUAAAUUUCUGUAGGUUGGAUGACUGAGUGAAUCCCUUCCCACGUACUUCCGCAUCCAGAUCAUCCACACUUGGUCUUCCUGGAAUCAUUCUUUGACACUUCUCCGGACCCACUCCAAUACGAGCACAUCUUUUGCUCAGAUAAUAAGACGUAAGUACAGUUCGGAAUCUGCUCACAAUGCACGAACAGUGAUCUGCCCAAUGCAUUAUAAAUCUAUCGUAUAGCAUCCUUGCUAACAUUGCAGUUGUCAUCCUUAAUCAACUCAAGCUACAAGCAACUCUUUAGGGCCUCUUGCUCAAGGACUUACAAGCACUUAUGCACCUCUAAUUGUUUCAAGUUUCUCCCAUUUAUUUUUACUCUACGCCCAAUUACUUAUACCAAAUGUACAUGACUUGCAUACACUGUAUUUCAACUGCUACUUUGCUGGCAUUCUCCAGACCUAUCGAAGUCCUUCUGCAGACUCCCGCUUUGCUCUAAACUACCUGUCCCGUACUGAUCUUUGUAUCAACUGCAAUGUUCGUCACUAAGGUAUCAAUGCCGUCAUCCAUAACAUUCAGAUUUAACAUGAAACGAUGCGGUCUCAAUACUGACCCCUACAGAACAGCACGAGUUACCGACAGCAAAACAGAAUUGCCCACAUUAUUCUGACUCUUUCUCCCUUGUCAGUACAAGUUUCUUCCCUGUAAUUCCAUGAGCUGUGAUCCUGUUAAGCAGCCUCACGUGGAGCACCUUAGAAACAUAGAAAACCUGCGGCACGUUACAGGCCCUUUGGCUCACAAAGCGAUGCCGAACAUGUCCUUGCUCUAGAAAUGCCAAGGGUUACCUACAGUUCUCUGUUUUUCUAAUUUCCGUGUACCUAUCCAGGAGUCUCUUAAAAGACCCUAUCGUGUCCGCCUCUACCACGAUUGCCGGCAGCCCAUUCCAAGCACUCACCAAUCUCUGUGUAAAAAACUUACCCCUGACAUCUCCUCUGUACCUUCUUCCAAGCAUCUUCAAACUAUGCCCUCGUGCUCGCAAUUUCAGCCCUGGGAAAAAGCCUCUAACUAUCCACACGAUCAAUGUCUCUCAUUUACUUGAAGACCUCUAUCAGGUCACCUCUCAUCCUCCAUCACUCCAAGGAGAAAAGACCGAUUUCACUCAACCUAUCCCUAUCCAAACAACAUCCUCGUAAAUCUCCUCAGCACCCUUUCUAUGGCUUCCACAUCCUUCCUGUAGUUUGGCGACCAGAACUGAGCACAGUACUCCACGUGGGGUCUGACCAAAGUCCAAUAUAGCUGCAACAUUACAUCUCGGCUUUUAAACUCAAGCCUGCGGAUGAUUAAGGUCAAUACGCAGUAUGGCUUCUUAACCACAGAGUCAACCUACAUAGCAGCUUUGCGUGUCCUAUGGACUCCGUCCCCAAGAUCUCUCUGUUCCUCCACACUGCCAAGAGGCUUACCAUUAAUACUAUAUUCUAUCAUAUUUGACCAAAGCAAAUGACAAACAUCACACUUCUUUGGGUUGUACUCCAUUUGCCACUCUUCAGCCCAGGUUUGCAGACUAUCAAUAUCCCCCUGCAAUCUAACCCAACCUUUGUGUCAUCAGCAAAUUUACUAACCCAUACCUCCACUUCCUCAUCCAGGUCAUUUAUAAUAGUCACGAAGGGUAGGGGACCCAGAACCGAUCCCUGAGGCAGACCACUGGUCACCGACCUCCAUGCAGAAUAUGACCAGUCUGCAACCACUCUUUGUCUUCUGUGAGCAAGCCCGUUCUGGAUGCACAAAGCAAUGUGCCCUUGGAUCCCAUCCCUCCUUACUUUCUCAAUAAGCCUUGCAUGAGGUACCUUGUUGAAGAUCAUCUGAAAAUCCAAGCAAACAACAUACACUGCCUCUGCUUUAUCUAUCUUGCCUGUUAUUUCCGAAAAUAUUCCAGGAGAUUUGUCAGUCAAGAUUUCCUCGAAAGAAUCCUGCGGACUUUGGCCUACUUCAUCAUGUUUCCCCAAUUACAGUACCCAAAAAACACACUCUUAGUACACUCUAACAUCUUCCUGACCACUAAGGUCAGACUAACUGUCCAAUAAUUUUCCUCUUAAAUUGUGGAGUGGCAUUUGCAAAUUUCUGGUCCACCAGAACCGUUCCAAAAUCUAGUGAUUUGUGAUAGAUCAUUACUCAUUGCCAGAGCAAGUGGCAGGGACGAUUGUAAUCUUCAAGAGAAGUUUGCUUAGGUCACUGGAUGAGAAGCAUAUGGAGGGCGAUGGUCCAGGUGGAAAUUGUUGGAACUCGGAAGAUUAAUGCUUUAGCACGGACUAGACUGGCCGAAUGGCAUUUUCCUGGGUUGUAGUGUUUUAUGAGUCUAAUGCCUUCACAAUCUCUUCAGCUAACUCUUUCUGAACUCUGCGGUGUCUUAUCUACCUUCAGGCCUUUCAGCUUCAAAAACAUCUUCUCUCCUUGGUAAAAGAAUGUAUCCUAACUUCUGCCCCAGGUACUGCUGAAUGUUUGGUAUUUAUGUAAUAAAUUUAAUGACACAACUGUAGUGGGUGACUUCAAUCUGCAGGAGGAUCGGGAAAGUCAGAUUGGCGUUAAAUCGCAAAAGAGGGGAUGUGUUGAAUGCAAACGAAAUGGCUUUUUAGAGCAGCUGAUGGUUGAGCCUACUCGGGGAACUGCUAUCUUACAUUGGGUGUUGUGUAAUAACCCAGAUCUUAUUCGGCAGGUUAACGUAAAGGAACCAUUAGAAGGCAGUGAUCAUAAUAUGAUUGAAGUCCUGCUGCAAUUUGUGUGGCAGAAGCACAGGUCACAUGUGUAGUAUCGCAAUGGAAUGAAAGGGAAUUACAGAGGCGUGAGAGAGGUGAUUUCCCAGGUGGAUUGGAGGAUGCUGGUGGAGAUGACGCCAGAGCAGAAAUGGCUGACGUUUCUGGGAAUAGUUCAUAAUGUACAGGAUAGAUAUAUUCCACAGACGUAGUUCUCAAACAGCGGGGCUAGGCUAUCGUGGCUGACAAAGGAAGUUAAGAACUGUAUAAAAGCAUAUAAGGUAGCAAAAAUGAGUAGUAGGUUGGAUAACUGGGUAGCUUUUAACAUCCAACAACAGGCAAAUUAAAAAUAAAAGCUGUAAGGGGAAAGGUGAAAUAUGACAGCAAACUAUACAAUAAUAUAAACCAGUUAUAAAAUAUAUGAAAGGGAGGCGAGAGUUGAUAUUGGACCACUGGAAAAUGAUGCUCAAGGGGUACAAAUGGGGAAGAGAUGGUAGAUGAACUUGAUAGGUACUUUGCAUCCGUCUUGUCUGUGGAAGACACCACCAGUGUGCCAGAGAUCCGUGAGUGUCAGGGAACAGGAGUGAGUGCCAUUGCUUUUACAAAGGAAAACGUGCUAGGCAAACUCAGAUUCUUAAAGUGGAUAAGUCACCUGGACCAGAUGGACUACAUCCCAGAGUCCUGAGAGAGGCUGCUGGAGAGAUAACAGAUGCAUUGGUCAUGACACGUCAAGAAUCACUUGAUUCUGGCAUGGUCCCGGAGGACAGGAAGAUCGCAAAUGCCAAUCCACUCUUUGGGAAGGGAGGAAGGCAAAGUAAAGCAAAUUAUAGUCCAGUUAGCCUAACCUCAGUGGCUGGGAAAGUGUGGAGUCAUGAUAACAGUUGAGGUUUUGGUGUACUAGGAGACUAAUGAUAUAAUGUCAAAGCCAGCUUGGUUCUAUACAGGGAAAUCUUGCCUGACAAGUCUGUUACAGAUCUUCGAGGAAGCCAUAAGCAGGAUGGACAAACGAGAGGCAGUGGAUAUCAUUUACUUGGAUUUUCAGAAAGCUUCCGAUAAGGUGUCACACAUGAAACUGCUUAACAGGAUAAAAGUCAGAAGUAAUACUGGCAUGGAUAGAGGAAUGGCUGACAGCCAAGAGGCAGUGAGUGGGAAUAAAAGGGGCCUUUUCUGGUUGGCCAGCAGUGACUUGUGCUCUUCAGGGGUCAGUAUUCGGACCGCUACUUUUCACAUUGUUUGUCAAUGACUUGGAUAAUGGAACUGAUGGCUUUGUGACAAGGAUUGCGGAUGAUACAAAGAUAGGUGGAGGCGAUGGUGGUGCUGAGGGUGCAAUACGAUUGCAGCAGGACACGUUUGAAGAACGGGCAAAUGGAAUACAAAACUGGGAAAUGUACAAUAAAGCAUUUUGGCAAAAGGAACAAUGGUGAACUAUCAUCUGAUUGGGGAGAAGGUUCAAACCACAGAUGUACAGAAGGAAAUGUGAUGAUGAUGAUGAUGAUGACGUAGUCGACUCAGGACUGACUCAGGGCAGCGUCGGGCAUUUUCGUGCCUUACAAGGCGCGGAUCGGAAGGUUGUGUGGGGCGCUACUCCUCACACAGACAUUUCACAGUAUCUUUCUUUAUUUGAUGAGGUCGAAUUGCGAGCUCAACACUCAAUCCGGCACGAAUGGAAAGCGUACAAGGGAGCGACUGUAUUCGAACCCAGGGACCUCCGUUACGGAGUCCGGCGCUGACGUCACUACGCCACCAGGGCCUUGGGCAAGACUCCCAGAAGAUUAGUUUACGGGUUGAGUCUAUGGUAACGAAGGCAACUGCAAUGCUGGCUUUAUUUAAAGUGAAGUAGAAUAUACUAGCAAGGAGAUAAUGCUGUUACUUUAUAAGAGACUACUCAGGCCACACGUCAGAACAUAAGAAAUGGGAGCAGGAGUCGGCCAUUGGCCCAUUGAGCCUGCCCCGCCAUUCAAUAAAAUCAUGGCUGAACUCAGCUCCAUCUACCAGCCUUUUCCCUAUAACCAUUAAUUACCUUAUUCUGCAAAAACCUAUCUAACUGUAUCUUAAAUAUACUUCGUGAGGAAACCUCAACUGCUUCCCUGGACAGAGAAUUCCACAGAUUCACCACUCUCUGGGAAAAACAGUUUCUCCUCAUCUCCGCCCUAACUCUUCUCUCCUGAAUCUUGAGGCAAUGUCCCCAAGUUCUAGUCUCAUCUACCAAUGGAAACAACUUUCCUACUUCUAUCUUAUCUAUCCCUUUCAAAAUUCUGGGUAUUUCUAUAAGAUUCCCUCUCAUUCUUCUGAACCCCAGAGAGAAAAGUCCCAGGCGACUCAAUCUCUCCUCAUAGGUUAACCCCCUCAUCCCUGGAAUCAAACUGGUUCACCUUCUCUGCAUUGCCUCCAAAGCCAGUACUGUCUAUCCUUCCUCGUGUACGGAGACCAGAACUGCACACAGUACUCCAGGUGCGGCCUCACCGGUACCCUGUAUAGUGGCAGCAUUACCUCCCUGCUCUUGAAUUCAAUCCCUCUACCAAUGAAGGGUAACAUUCUGUUAGAGUUAGAGUAUGUGGGACUUCUAUCUUAGAAAAUGUGCGUUGUCAUUGGAGAGAGUCCAGAGGAUCUUCAAGAAGAUGAUUCCGGGAAUGAAGGGGUUAAGUAUGAGAAGCGUUUGCCAGCUUUGGGCCUGUACUCCUGCACUGACUUAUGUUUAGUAAAUGUGGGUGGAGGGUGUUCAGAGGCUGCAGAAGGCUGUAAAUCUCGUCACCUCCAUCUUGGGUACUAGCCUACAAAGUAUCCAGGACAUCUUUAGGAAGCGGUAUCACAGAAAGGCAGCGUCCAUUAUAAAGGACCUUCAGCACCCAGGACAUGCCCUUUCCUCACUGUUACCAUCAGGUAGGAGAUACAGAAGCCUGAAGGCGCACACUCAGUGAUUCAGGAAAAGCUUCUUCCCCUCUGCCAUCCGAUUCCUGAAUGGACUUUGAAAGCUUUGGACACUCUUCAAUAUACAGUAUUUCUGUUUUUACACAUUUUAAUAAACUAUUCAUCACACAUAAUUGAUUUACUUGUUGAUUACUGUUUUAAUUAGUUUAUUAUUAUCUAUGCCAGAAUAUGA
This is an RNA transcript of Hypanus sabinus (Atlantic stingray), 6889 nucleotides long. It is a transcript of the gene named gastrula zinc finger protein XlCGF8.2DB-like, with no coding region annotated. Lineage: Eukaryota; Metazoa; Chordata; Chondrichthyes; Myliobatiformes; Dasyatidae. The record is from RefSeq and is a predicted model, not a curated record. The transcript has 3 exons.